Non-coding RNA from Phrynosoma platyrhinos (Desert horned lizard), 71 nucleotides. Lineage: Eukaryota; Metazoa; Chordata; Lepidosauria; Squamata; Phrynosomatidae. The record is from the annotation of a GenBank genome assembly.
GCCGGCAUGGCAUAAUGAUUUGGGUGUUGGACUAUGGUUCUAGAGACCAGGGUUCGAUUCCCAGCUCGGCC